GAAGAUUGGAUAAGGUUGAUAUAGACGUUUUACAGAACCAGUCAAACACUGUUCAGUUUUGAACCACAGUGGGGUUGAGUGUUUUCAGGUCAAAUCCUUGGGGGUAAAAUGUAGUUAUCCCCAAACUUUUGGGUACAUUACAAAUUACCUCUGAGGCAUGGUACUUUAAAAAUUAUGUCGUUUCCCUACCGGGAACGUCUUGCAUGGUGUUUCGAAUUAUGUACCUAGUAUUCUAAAAUGCGUGCCUAUUUUGUUUCUUUAAUUUUUUCCGUAUCCUAGCCUUGUUCUUUGAUGGAGAAGAAUGGUUAUCCCGAAAUAGAGCACCUCCCAGGCUGACUAUACUUAGCUGGUACCAUGUCUCAAGAGUGAGGGCUUUGGAAGCAUAUCCGGCUUGUUUGGAGAAUUUACGACUCAUGUCAAUUUCAAGGUGAGAAGGAGCGAUAGUUGAAGUUUUGGUGUCAUAAAAUGCUGUAGAAACAGAGUAUAGAUCAUAGAGUGGUAAAGAAUGGGUUUGCAUUGUCUUUAGAGCAAGAAAGCGGGUUGGUAUUGUUUUUAGAGUGGGAAAAAAGAUGGACAGUGGCACAUAGAUGAAGAUUGGAUAAGGUUGAUAUAGACGUUUUACAGAACCAGUCAAACACUGUUCAGUUUUGAACCACAGUGGGGUUGAGGUGUUUUUCAAAGGGUCAAAUCCUUGGGUAAAAUGUAGUUAUCCCCAAACUUUUGGGUACAUUACAAUUACUCUGAGGCAUGGUACUUUAAAAAUUAUGUCGUUUCCCACCCGGAACGCUGCUGGUGUUAUUCGAAUUAUGUACCUAGUAUGCUAAAUGGGCGUGCCUAUUUUUUUCUUUAAUUUUUUCCGUAUCCUCAGCCUUGUUCUUUUGAUGAGAGAAUGGGUUACAUCCCGAAAUAGAGCACAUAACCAGGCUGUCUAUACUUAGCUGUACCACUACUUCUCAAAGAGUGAGGGCUUUUUGAGAAGCAUAUCACGGCUUAGUUUGAGAGAAUUUAACGACUCAUAGGUCAAUUUCAAGGUGAUAAUGAGCGAUAGUGCAAAAAAUUUAUGGUGUUCAUAACUGCUGUAAAACAGAGUAUAGAUCAUAGAGUGGUAAAGAAUGGCUGGUUUGCAUUGUCUUUAGAGCAAGAAAGCCGGGUUUGGUAUUGUUUUUUUAGAGUGGGAAAAAAAUGGACAGUGGCACAUAGAUGAGAUUGGAUAAGGUUGAUAUAUACGCUUUUAACAACCAGUCCAAACACUGUUCAGUUUUGAACCACAUUGGGUUUGAUGUUUUCAGGGCAAAUCCUGGGGUAAAUGUGUUUCCCAAACUUUUGGGUACAUUACAAUUACUCUGAGGCAUGGUACUUUAAAAAUUAUGUCGUUUCCCACCCGGAACGCUGCUGGUGUUAUUCGAAUUAUGUACCUAGUAUGCUAAAUGGGCGUGCCUAUUUUUUUCUUUAAUUUUUUCCGUAUCCUCAGCCUUGUUCUUUUGAUGAGAGAAUGGGUUACAUCCCGAAAUAGAGCACAUAACCAGGCUGUCUAUACUUAGCUGUACCACUACUUCUCAAAGAGUGAGGGCUUUUUGAGAAGCAUAUCACGGCUUAGUUUGAGAGAAUUUAACGACUCAUAGGUCAAUUUCAAGGUGAUAAUGAGCGAUAGUGCAAAAAAUUUAUGGUGUUCAUAACUGCUGUAAAACAGAGUAUAGAUCAUAGAGUGGUAAAGAAUGGCUGGUUUGCAUUGUCUUUAGAGCAAGAAAGCGGGUUGGUAUUGUUUUUUUAGAGUGGGAAAAAAGAUGGACCUGGCACAUAGAUAAGAUGGUCAGGUUUGAUAUAGACGUUUUACAGAACAGUCCACAGGUUUCAGUUUUGAACCACAGUGGGGUUGAGUGUUUUCAGGUCAAAUCCUUGG
This 1900-nucleotide long non-coding RNA is filed under the name Actinidia chinensis (golden kiwifruit). Its description in RNAcentral is "long non-coding RNA (ACHI_LNC004666)". Lineage: Eukaryota; Viridiplantae; Streptophyta; Magnoliopsida; Ericales; Actinidiaceae. The record is from RNAcentral.